RNAcentral lists this ribosomal RNA (374 nucleotides) under uncultured bacterium. RNAcentral's name for it is "partial 16S ribosomal RNA". It matches the Rfam family "Bacterial small subunit ribosomal RNA", at positions 338 to 710 of the family's 1533-position model. The record is from RNAcentral.
CCUACGGGAGGCAGCAGUGAGGAAUAUUGGUCAAUGGGCGCGAGCCUGAACCAGCCAAGUCGCGUGAGGGAAGACGGUCCUAUGGAUUGUAAACCUCUUUUGUCGGGGAGCACAAGACGCCACGCGUGGCGUUCCGAGAGUACCCGAAGAAAAAGCAUCGGCUAACUCGGUGCCAGCAGCCGCGGUAAUACGGAGGAUGCGAGUGUUAACCGGAUUUAGUGGGGUUAACGGGUGCGCAGGGUGAAGUUCAAGUCAGCGGUAAACUGGAUUGGCUCAACCCCGUCGAGCCGUUGAAACGGGUUGUCUAGAGUGAGCGAGAGGGAGGCGGAAUGCGAGGUGGAGCGGUGAAAUGCAUAGAUAUCAGGCAGAACCCC